Molecule: long non-coding RNA, 907 nt
Organism: Numida meleagris (helmeted guineafowl)
Lineage: Eukaryota; Metazoa; Chordata; Aves; Galliformes; Numididae
Exons: 4
Source: RefSeq, a predicted model, not a curated record
CUUAACGGUUUACAUGGCUUCUGAGGAUCUGUCAGAGGUGCUCCCACACAACUGGGGAUGAGGAGUGGCUGGGGACAGUGCUGUGUCAGGGUGGAACUGUGCUCCGGUGUGACGAGAUACAUGUGGAAGAGAGCUCAGAAGUGUGGCAACCAGCCUUGGAUGACCAAGAACAUCCCAGAGGGAGCCAUGAAGACUAGUAUAAGCAGAAAGUGAAUGGAAAUGCUAUGGUGCUGAAGUACCAGAAGUAGCAACAGAAAAAUGGUAUAUGCUGAUGGCACGUGUCUUCAGGAUAUCAUGGCGUCUUUAUACAGCUAUUCAGGACACCCAGAUCAGAAGACAAGAGACAGCAUGUCAUUUCCAACCUAAGAAGAGCCCAGGAGAUGUGAUGAGAACUCAUUUUCUGUAUCACCCAAGAUGGGAAGACCGACCACCUAGAUGAAAAUGUCCUUUAUGCAGACCUCAUCACAAAAAAUAGGAUGUUUUCUGCUGAAAGAUUUUGGGUGCCAAACUACAACCCAACACCUUCCCAAGAUUUCCAAGAAUUGCAAUUCUCAUGUGUUGCCCACACAUCUAAUACAUAAAAUUUUUUAAACUUUCAUGAGACGUUAUUGUCAUUUCUGACAAGGUCUUGACCAAACUGGAAAUGAUUCCUGCUCAAAAGUACAAUUUAUCAUUUCCUCAUGACAAAUGUGGCGAAGAGAACUAGAAACUUAUAAUGAACUACUUGCUCUAUGGUUUCGGACUGGUUUCCAUGACCCAUAUUUCCAUAAUUUAUGAUCUCUGAAGAUAAAUAUGUUUUCCUCAUCCACAAAAUGUAACAUCUUUUGCAAUUGUUGUGGACUUUGGCUGUACUUUUCCAUCUUCUUUCUGACUACUGAUGGAUUUAUACUUCCACUAUUUUGCUAUU